GGUUUGUCUUCCAGGCUCAGACCAGCGGGGGCCAUUCCUGCCUUAGGGACUGAGGGAAGGCACACUGUAAUCAUGCUGCAGACUCUGGUCAAGGAGCAGGAAUAAAGUUUUCUUUACUAUUCACCAUGAGAAAUUGGUAGAACUCAAGAACAGAAGACUCACAGAUGUGUGGGCCCCUAGCACCAUAAUGGGGUCCCUAUGGAGAUUUUAUCUCUCAGAUUUGUUCACACCGAGACCUUUGCAAAUCAUCAACUGCAGUUCACAUAUUCCUAUCCUGGCUUGUUUUCCUGUGGAGAUUUCUAUUCAGAGAAUGUGUGUCUUUUUAUGCAAGACCCUCAGUUGGAUCACCAGCACUAAAAAAGCAACAUGGAACAAUUGACCUGAUAUUCUUUGAAUUCACCAACUCUUGGAGUCAUGGAAAUUAAAAUUUUGGAAAGUGGAAGGCAAAUGAAACUUCAGAAUUGGCACCCCGGACACCCCUCCAGUUGCUUUUGUACUGAAUACACAUCUAUGGAGUCUUGCCUUUAACCUGAGAUACACAUCAUGGGACUCUAAGGCAAAAGACCACUCACAUGCAGGACUGGCAAAACUCUGCCUUAGGGCAGCAUGAGUGGAUCCAUACGUAUUGAGACUUAAUAAGAAUCUGUGGAUUGAGUUAAUUAAAUAUCCAAUAGUAACAAUAAAUUAGUUCCUAAAAUAAAAGUGUAAAUAUAACUUUUGUAGUGCAAAUAUUUU
This is an RNA transcript of Ictidomys tridecemlineatus (thirteen-lined ground squirrel), 735 nucleotides long. RefSeq lists it as uncharacterized. The record is from RefSeq and is a predicted model, not a curated record. Lineage: Eukaryota; Metazoa; Chordata; Mammalia; Rodentia; Sciuridae.